RNAcentral lists this ribosomal RNA (492 nucleotides) under uncultured bacterium. RNAcentral's name for it is "bacterial SSU rRNA". It matches the Rfam family "Bacterial small subunit ribosomal RNA", at positions 28 to 507 of the family's 1533-position model. The record is from RNAcentral.
GACGAACGCUGGCGGCGUGGAUUAGGCAUGCAAGUCGGACGGUAGGGCUUUAUCGUAAGAUAGAGUUUGAGAGUGGCGAACGGGUGAGUAACACGUAGGAAUCUACCCUUAAGACGGGGACAACCCAGGGAAACUUGGGCUAAUACCGGAUGAGAGUGCGAGAGAUUGCAUUUAAAAGGAUGGCGAAAGUUGUCGCUUAGGGAUGAGCCUGCGGUCUAUUAGUUAGUUGGUGAGGUAAGAGCUCACCAAGGCGAUGAUAGAUAGGCGGCCUUAACGGGUGGUCGCCCACACUGGGAUUGAGACACGGUCCAGACUCCUACGGGAGGCAGCAGUAGGGAAUAUUGGACAAUGGGCGCAAGCCUGAUCCAGCCAUGCCGCGUGAGUGAAGAAGGCCCUCGGGUUGUAAAGCUCUUUUGUCCGGAAAGAAAAGCGCCGGGUUAAUACCCUGGUGUCCUGACGGUACCGGAAGAAUAAGCACCGGCUAACUUCGUG